Molecule: non-coding RNA, 1127 nt
Organism: Paramisgurnus dabryanus
Lineage: Eukaryota; Metazoa; Chordata; Actinopteri; Cypriniformes; Cobitidae
Source: RefSeq, a predicted model, not a curated record
AGUUGAAUAGUCAAGGCUUUGCAUUUUUCUUUUUAAACGCCAAAUUGGUGUGAAAAUAUUGUCUUUCUGGACUCUUUGUGAAUUCAAUGUGUGUACUAGUUUGUGGGAGUACUACUACAUAUGUAAAAAGAGAGGUGUAAAUAUUUUUUUGGCUCAAAGGAAGCUGCAUGUAAGCUACGUGUGACAACAUGGAGUUAAAAAAAAUAAAUUGUUACCCUUUAAAUUUUGAAUGUCAAAUCUAUUUAGAAGUUUGAUUGUAGGUACCUCGUUCACGUCUUGGUUACAUUCCACCUAGUGUUUACUAAUUAUUGUCCUUUUUAUAAAUUUUCUUCUUAAAAAUCUUAUUAUGGUAAGGAUAAUGUAUUUGUUCCCUUCAGGUAUCUGCCACUGCAGCUGACGUUGAGACAACUCUCAGUCUUCCUGCAAGUCCUCGCCUGAUACCUGUUUCAAGUGCAACAAGGCAAGUCACAAUUAAGGGUUGGAUGAUCACCUUUAAGGGCUCUGAGGGCAUCACAACAACAUUUGCAAUUGGACUUGCUGCUAUGUUUGCAACCUACUACAUUUUCAGCCUUCAGUAUCAAGAUGAGACAGCCUGCCCUCUGGAAUUCAUUCAGAGGCACUUCAUUGAUAUAAAUCAAGAGAGAGGAACAAAUGCCAAAAUCAUCAGACAAGAUUGUCUCUAAGAAGAAAGGUGUGAUCGUCCAGAAGUCGUCUUCUGCAGUUAAAUACACACCUGGCCAUGCUACUGAAGAAUCUCCUUGACUUUUUAAUGGAACUUCAUAUAGAUCGUGGCAGCGCUGGAAUAAUGCUGCAGAGAGGAACAGCGGCUACUAAAGUGAUGAUUGUCUCUUCUGGAUCCACAAGAACUAAGAUGUAAAAACACAAGCCUACCUCACAGGACAAUUUUAAGAGGUAACCUGCAAGUCUAGCUUGCAGUGGCACAUGUGCCUAUACGGUUUCAUCCUAAAUGUUUUUUAUGCUUAUUAUUGAUACAUCCUGACAAAAUGUUCUACUGUACUAUAAUAGUUUCAAAAUGGCCUUAGGUAUGUUUUCAAAAAGUAAACUAUAGGUUAUGCCCUUCACAUUUGGUUAGGAUUAGGGGCAGUCUCUGACGAGCAAUUUAAGAA